CAAUAGCGUAUAUUAAAGUUGUUGCAGUUAAAAAGCUCGUAGUUGGAUUUCUGGUGGGAGCGAUCGGUCUGGCGCUUAGCGCGAGUACUUGCAUCGUCUCCGGCCAUCCUUGGGGAGAGUCUGUCUGGCAUUAAGUUGUCGGGCAGAGGAUCCUCAUCGUUUACUGUGAAAAAAUUAGAGUGUUCAAAGCAGGCUUAUGCCGUUGAAUAUAUUAGCCUGGAAUAAUAAGAUAGGACUUUGGUACUAUUUUGUUGGUUUGCGCACCAAAGUAAUGAUUAAUAGGGACAGUUGGGGGUAUUCGUAUUCCGUUGUCAGAGGUGAAAUUCUUGGAUUUACGGAAGACGAACUACUGCGAAAGCAUUUACCAAGGAUGUUUUCAUUAA
RNAcentral lists this ribosomal RNA (383 nucleotides) under uncultured eukaryote. RNAcentral's name for it is "partial 18S ribosomal RNA". It matches the Rfam family "Eukaryotic small subunit ribosomal RNA", at positions 592 to 976 of the family's 1831-position model. The record is from RNAcentral.